This 376-nucleotide ribosomal RNA is filed under the name uncultured Alphaproteobacteria bacterium. RNAcentral describes it as "bacterial SSU rRNA". It matches the Rfam family "Bacterial small subunit ribosomal RNA", at positions 9 to 418 of the family's 1533-position model. Lineage: Bacteria; Pseudomonadati; Pseudomonadota; Alphaproteobacteria. The record is from RNAcentral.
GAGUUUGAUCGUGGCUCAGAACGAACGCUGGCGGCAGGCCUAACACAUGCAAGUCGAACGCCCACUUCGGUGGGAGUGGCGCACGGGUGAGUAACACGUGGGAACCUACCCUUCGGUACGGAACAACCCAGGGAAACUUGGGCUGAUACCGUAUACGACCUGGUGAAGAUUGAUCGCCGAGGAGGGGCCCGCGUCCGAUUAGGUAGUUGGUGGGGUAACGGCCUACCAAGCCGACGAUCGGCACCUGGUCUGAGAGGAUGAUCAGGCACACUGGGACUGAGACACGGCCCAGACUCCUACGGGAGGCAGCAGUGGGGAAUAUUGGACAAUGGGCGGAAGCCUGAUCCAGCCAUGCCGCGUGAGUGAUGAAGGCCUU